Molecule: non-coding RNA, 93 nt
Organism: Acanthosepion pharaonis
Lineage: Eukaryota; Metazoa; Mollusca; Cephalopoda; Sepiida; Sepiidae
Source: the annotation of a GenBank genome assembly
CAUUGAAACACAGGUUCUCAUACGAUCACCAAAGUUAAGCAGCGUUGAGCCUGGUUAGUACCGAGAGUGACCAUUUGGGAAUACCAAGUGUUG